This 147-nucleotide signal recognition particle RNA is filed under the name Gorilla gorilla gorilla (western lowland gorilla). Its description in RNAcentral is "Metazoan signal recognition particle RNA". It matches the Rfam family "Metazoan signal recognition particle RNA". From Rfam's summary of the family: The signal recognition particle (SRP) is a universally conserved ribonucleoprotein. It is involved in the co-translational targeting of proteins to membranes. The eukaryotic SRP consists of a 300-nucleotide 7S RNA and six proteins: SRPs 72, 68, 54, 19, 14, and 9. The record is from Rfam by way of RNAcentral. Lineage: Eukaryota; Metazoa; Chordata; Mammalia; Primates; Hominidae.
GCCAGGCGUGGUGGCGUGUGCCUGUAAUCCCAGCUACUCGGGAGGCUGAGGCAGGAGACUCGCUUGAACCCAGGAGGCGGAGGUUGCAGUGAGCCGAGAUCGGCCGCUGCACUACAGCCUGGGCGACAGAGUGAGACUCCGUCUCAA